CACGUAGGGGGCAAGCGUUGUCCGGAAUCAUUGGGCGUAAAGAGCUCGUAGGCGGCUCGGUAAGUCGGGUGUGAAACCCCCAGGCUCAACCUGGGGACGCCACCCGAUACUGCUGUGGCUAGAGUCCAGUAGGGGAGUGUGGAAUUCCCGGUGUAGCGGUGAAAUGCGCAGAGAUCGGGAGGAACACCCGUAGCGAAGGCGGCGCUCUGGGCCGGUACUGACGCUGAGGAGCGAAAGCGUGGGGAGCGAACAGG
Molecule: ribosomal RNA, 254 nt
Filed under: uncultured bacterium
Lineage: Bacteria
Description: partial 16S ribosomal RNA
Rfam family: Bacterial small subunit ribosomal RNA
Source: RNAcentral